GAUGAACGCUGGCGGCGUGCCUAAUACAUGCAAGUCGAGCGAACAGACGAGGAGCUUCUCCUCUGACGUUAGCGGCGGACGGGUGAGUAACACGUGGAUAACCUACCUAUAAGACUGGGAUAACUUCGGGAAACCGGAGCUAAUACCGGAUAAUAUAUUGAACCGCAUGGUUCAAUAGUGAAAGACGGUUUUGCUGUCACUUAUAGAUGGAUCCGCGCCGCAUUAGCUAGUUGGUAAGGUAACGGCUUACCAAGGCGACGAUGCGUAGCCGACCUGAGAGGGUGAUCGGCCACACUGGAACUGAGACACGGUCCAGACUCCUACGGGAGGCAGCAGUAGGGAAUCUUCCGCAAUGGGCGAAAGCCUGACGGAGCAACGCCGCGUGAGUGAUGAAGGUCUUCGGAUCGUAAAACUCUGUUAUUAGGGAAGAACAAAUGUGUAAGUAACUAUGCACGUCUUGACGGUACCUAAUCAGAAAGCCACGGCUAACUACGUG
This 496-nucleotide ribosomal RNA is filed under the name uncultured bacterium. RNAcentral describes it as "partial 16S ribosomal RNA". It matches the Rfam family "Bacterial small subunit ribosomal RNA", at positions 28 to 507 of the family's 1533-position model. The record is from RNAcentral.